This 449-nucleotide ribosomal RNA is filed under the name uncultured bacterium. RNAcentral describes it as "partial 16S ribosomal RNA". It matches the Rfam family "Bacterial small subunit ribosomal RNA", at positions 29 to 523 of the family's 1533-position model. The record is from RNAcentral.
AACGAACGCUGGCGGCAUGCCUAACACAUGCAAGUCGAACGAGACCUUCGGGUCUAGUGGCGCACGGGUGCGUAACGCGUGGGAAUCUGCCCUUGGGUUCGGAAUAACAGUUAGAAAUGACUGCUAAUACCGGAUGAUGUCUUCGGACCAAAGAUUUAUCGCCCAGGGAUGAGCCCGCGUCGGAUUAGCUUGUUGGUGAGGUAAAGGCUCACCUAGGCGACGAUCCGUAGCUGGUCUGAGAGGAUGAUCAGCCACACUGGGACUGAGACACGGCCCAGACUCCUACGGGAGGCAGCAGUGGGGAAUAUUGGACAAUGGGCGAAAGCCUGAUCCAGCAAUGCCGCGUGAGUGAUGAAGGCCUUAGGGUUGUAAAGCUCUUUUACCCGGGAUGAUAAUGACAGUACCGGGAGAAUAAGCCCCGGCUAACUCCGUGCCAGCCGCCGCGGUAA